CCUACGGGAGACAGCAGUGAGGAAUAUUGGUCAAUGGGCGGAAGCCUGAACCAGCCAAGUAGCGUGCAGGAUGACGGCCCUACGGGUUGUAAACUGCUUUUAUACGGGAAUAACGCGCCUUACGUGUAGGGCUUUGCAUGUACCGUAUGAAUAAGGACCGGCUAAUUCCGUGCCAGCAGCCGCGGUAAUACGGAAGGUCCGGGCGUUAUCCGGAUUUAUUGGGGGUAAAGGGAGCGUAGGCCGCAUGUCAAGCGUGCUGUGAAAUGUCCGGGCUCAACCCGGGCCUUGCAGCGCGAACUGGCGUGCUUGAGUCCGCGGCACGCAGGCGGACUUCGUCGUGUAGCGGUGAAAUGCUUAGAUAUGACGAAGAACCCCGAUUGCGCGGGCAGCUUGCUGCAGCGGACCUGACGCUGCUGCUCGAACGCGCGGGUAUCGCACAGGAUUAGAUACCCUGGUAGUC
This 460-nucleotide ribosomal RNA is filed under the name uncultured bacterium. RNAcentral's name for it is "partial 16S ribosomal RNA". It matches the Rfam family "Bacterial small subunit ribosomal RNA", at positions 338 to 795 of the family's 1533-position model. The record is from RNAcentral.